CUAUCGGCCCUUUUCAGAGCCAUCAAAUAUUCUAAAAGAUAUUCGU
Anopheles maculatus is the source of this 46-nucleotide non-coding RNA. The record is from Rfam. NCBI's taxonomy places the organism in Eukaryota, Metazoa, Arthropoda, Insecta, Diptera, Culicidae.